GACGUACGCUGGCGGCGUGCUUAACACAUGCAAGUCGAACGGAAAUCAGGGAGCUUGCUCCCUGUGAUUAGUGGCGAACGGGUGAGUAACACGUGAGCAACCUGCCCCUAACUUUGGGAUAACUUCGGGAAACCGGGGCUAAUACCAAAUACGACCCAUGAGGGCAUCCUCUGUGGGUGGAAAGAAUUUCGGUUGGGGAUGGGCUCGCGGCCUAUCAGCUUGUUGGUGGGGUAACGGCCUACCAAGGCAUCGACGGGUAGCCGGCCUGAGAGGGUGAUCGGCCACACUGGGACUGAGACACGGCCCAGACUCCUACGGGAGGCAGCAGUGGGGAAUAUUGCACAAUGGGCGCAAGCCUGAUGCAGCAACGCCGCGUGGGGGAAGAAGGCCUUCGGGUUGUAAACCUCUUUUGGCAGGGAAGAAGCGAAAGUGACGGUACCCGCAGAAAAAGCGCCGGCUAACUACGUGCCAGCAGCCGCGGUAAUACGUAGGGCGCGAGCGUUGUCCGGAAUUAUUGGGCGUAAAGAGCUCGUAGGCGGUUUGUCACGUCUGCCGUGAAAAUCCGAGGCUCAACCUCGGACCUGCGGUGGGUACGGGCAGGCUAGAGUGCGAUAGGGGAGAGCGGAAUUCCU
Molecule: ribosomal RNA, 632 nt
Filed under: uncultured Actinomycetes bacterium
Lineage: Bacteria; Bacillati; Actinomycetota; Actinomycetes
Description: bacterial SSU rRNA
Rfam family: Bacterial small subunit ribosomal RNA
Source: RNAcentral